RNAcentral lists this ribosomal RNA (393 nucleotides) under uncultured bacterium. Its description in RNAcentral is "partial 16S ribosomal RNA". It matches the Rfam family "Bacterial small subunit ribosomal RNA", at positions 523 to 918 of the family's 1533-position model. The record is from RNAcentral.
AUACGGAGGACGCGAGCGUUAUCCGGAUUCAUUGGGUUUAAAGGGUGCGCAGGCGGCCGUGCAAGUCAGCGGUGAAAGCCCGGGGCUCAACCCCGGAAGUGCCGUUGAUACUGCAUGGCUGGAAUGCGGUCGAGGCGGGCGGAACGUGGCGUGUAUCGGGGAAAUUCGUAAAUAUGCCACAGAACCACGAUAGCGGAGGCAGCUCGACAGGCCUGCAUUGACGCUCGGGCACGAAAGCGUGGGGAUCGAACAGGAUUAGAUACCCUGGUAGUCCACGCCGUAAACGAUGGGCGCUCGUCGUCGGCGGCAGACAGUCGGCGGCCAAGCGAAAGCGAUAAGCGCCCCACCUGGGGAGUACGGUCGCAAGGCUGGAACUCAAAUGAAUUGACGGGG